GGAAACUCCUGCAGAUUUCUGGUUAUGGGAAACAAUGGCGUUCGAGAUACCUUACGAUCAAAUAAGGGAACUCCAGAUCUCACUUCGCAAGGAAGCCGCUGUCGACUCUUACAAACCGGAAGACCCUCAACUUCCCGAUUUACCCUUGCUCCAGGACGCAAUUUCCGACCUCGACCUUUCUCCUCCGUACGUUCGAUGCAAGCACUGCCAAGGCCGGCUUCUCAGAGGCACUAAUUCCGUGAUUUGCGUCUUCUGUGGUAGACAGCAGAACAAUGGUGUUCCUCCUGAUCCAAUCAAGUUUACUUCUACUAUUGGUUGCCGUUGGUUUCUUCAGUAUCUCGACUUAGAUGGAUCGGAGCUUGUGGCACGAUCAAUUGAAGCAAAUGAAUCUAACAAAGGGCCAAAUACACCAGAAAUUGCGUUUUCCUUGUCUGAUCUUUUAGAUUUAGAAAUAAGAUGGCCUUCUGAACCUGAAAAAUUUGAGAGUAGUGUUUCUGAAAAGGCACCAGCUCAGUGGUUGGGUACUCUGAGUUUGGCUGGAGUUGAUCUGGACAACUUUUUUACUGAAGCUAAGGUAGACAUAAACGCUGUUCCUACAUCUACUGAGGAACAGUUUGCAUUGAAAAAACAUAAGGAUGCUGCUGCAAGUAAUCAGGGAAAUUUUAGCCUGUUUGAGAAUUUAAAGCCAUCUGAGGAAGUUCCUGCAAGGCCUAAGGAAGAUGAAAGUGGUGAAUCCUUUUCUGGUUGGGAGGCUGAUUUUCAAUCUGCUGGUUCUGGAACUCAACAACAGGAAUUGAAAUUAUCUGAUCCUUUUGUGGGAUCUGCUGGUAUCGGAACUCAACAACAGGAAUCCCAAUUAUCUGAUCCUUUUGUGCAAUCAUCUUUAGUUGAUCUUUCUUCCCACAUGGAUGAUGUUUUUGCACACGCCGGAAAAGAUUUAAUUGACAAUAAAACAAACGAAUAUACAACUUCUGCAUCCAACAUGAAUGACUGGUUAGAAGGUGAUCUAUGAAGUAAAUCCAAUACUGGGGUAGCUGUCCAGUAUGAUCAGUUUGAAGUUUCCUUAAAUGAAAAGGAUCACAGAACAUCAGGUAGCACAGAUAAUUUUUCUUCCUUGGAUAUUGAUUGGAUUCCACACACCACCAACAGUGGUAACAUGGCAGCUGAUAAUAGAACUGUCAAUGAAGAUGAUGAUUAGUUUGAUGCUUGGCAUGAUUUUACAAGCUCAACUCGUGUAUUAGUUCCUUCUAGCAAUUCUUUGAAACAAGAUGUCAAUCACACAGUGUCCCUUUGUUGAGCAGGCAUCCUUGUUCAGUGAAACUAGUAACUUAAAUGAUGUUGAUUUUGGUAGCUUUCUACGGCAGGAUUAUCUCUCAGCAACUUUUAAUGAUCAAAAUGGUUCUGCAGAAGUGAAUGCUGUGGUGCCAGAAAGUUCUGUUUCAGAUAGGACCAGUUGUCCCAUAAUGGUGGUCUUGCCUAUACAAAGUGUCAGGUGGUGCUUCAGGCAAUGGCCCCUCAUUUCCAAUAGUUGUUCUAUUAUCUGAAUUGAGAGGGAUAUUACCAGUGAGGGUAAAAGAGAAAAUCCACAAAGGAAAAGGAUGAACAGCACAAAUGGAACAGGAGGAGGAAGUGCUGAAGAAGUUGAAAAAUUUUCUAAUGAAAAUUCAAAGUCAAAAGCUGAUUAUGCUGAGAUGUUGAUGUCACAUAUGCACAGAUCUCGCCUUUAUGCUCGCAAGCAAUUUUUCGUUUACUGAUAAAGAUUAAUUCCCUUUUUUCCUCUUCUAAAUAAAUUAAUUUCUUUUACUUUCACAUCGUAUUAGUGCAGACUCCAGCAAAUAUGCUAUCAGAAAGUUGAGCAAGCAUAAAAAUGAACAUUGGCGAAGUCCACAUAUUAGGCAAAUUUUCUGCUCGCUUCGGAAAAGGUAUCAAGUUGAAUCUACAUCCUACUGUUAAUCUAACUCCUCAGACUUAGCUUACCGGGUAUCAAUGUUGAAAAGAGGUUGCAGUAGCUUAGCUUACAAAAAACCUACACUCUUUAAUGUUAUGUAUUAGAAUCAGUGGCGGAGGCCCUUUUGCCCCCAACUUCAUAAAAA
Molecule: unclassified non-coding RNA, 2093 nt
Filed under: Hevea brasiliensis (rubber tree)
Lineage: Eukaryota; Viridiplantae; Streptophyta; Magnoliopsida; Malpighiales; Euphorbiaceae
Source: RNAcentral